GAGCGGAGGAGGAGAAAGAAACUUCUCAAUUUACUCUUUUAAAAAGCAUCACUGGCUGGCACAGCAGGGGUUUGGCAUACACGGUGCCCCACUGAGGGGUGGUGUGGGCCCCACGGGUAGGUGUGUGAGAUGCCGGAGCCGGUGGACUGGCGACAGGGGAAGAGGGGGAUGAUGCUGUGACCCCUUCCACAUUCUCCAGACUGUCUUCUACCCGGCCGCGGUGCAACAGCAUGUAGAUGUACUCAGAAAGACGGACCACUUUACGGCCUCUUUCCAUCAGCUCCAGUUCUAUCAGGUCUGGGAUCAUAACAUCAUUCCCAAGGGUGCACUUCCUCCAUCCAGCCCCACGCCAAGGGCAGGAAUAGGUGAAAGACUUACACGCAAGAACACUUGAUGAAUAAUGCAUAAAAAUCAAAUGCUCUUUAGUGACUCACAGCCAACGGUCAGGAGCAGGCCAGCAGACGUGCAUUGAGAGGACUUUCAUCUGAACUCAACCAGAACUCUGAGUUAUCAUCAGAAGAAACUGCAAACUGAAAAUCUCCUGGACAAAUGAGAGUGACGGACAGUGUGAGCGACAG
Molecule: long non-coding RNA, 578 nt
Organism: Rhinichthys klamathensis goyatoka
Lineage: Eukaryota; Metazoa; Chordata; Actinopteri; Cypriniformes; Leuciscidae
Exons: 4
Source: RefSeq, a predicted model, not a curated record